GGGCCCUUCUCCUCCUCACUACAUUCUACUUCAAUCAAAGAUUUAGAGAAAUGGAGACUUUCUUAUUCACAUCUGAAUCAGUCAACGAGGGACAUCCCGACAAGCUCUGUGACCAGGUCUCAGAUGCCAUUCUUGAUGCUUGCCUGGAGCAGGAUCCCGAAAGCAAGGUUGCAUGUGAAACCUGCACAAAGACAAACAUGGUUAUGGUCUUUGGAGAGAUCACAACCAAGGCCACCGUAGACUACGAGAAGAUCGUACGUGACACAUGCAGAGGCAUUGGGUUCGUCUCAGCAGAUGUUGGUCUUGAUGCUGACAACUGCAAGGUCCUUGUUUACAUUGAGCAGCAAAGUCCUGAUAUUGCUCAAGGUGUCCACGGCCAUCUGACCAAA
This 389-nucleotide unclassified non-coding RNA is filed under the name Hevea brasiliensis (rubber tree). Lineage: Eukaryota; Viridiplantae; Streptophyta; Magnoliopsida; Malpighiales; Euphorbiaceae. The record is from RNAcentral.